UACGUAGGGCGCAAGCGUUAUCCGGAAUUAUUGGGCGUAAAGAGCUCGUAGGCGGUUUGUCGCGUCUGCCGUGAAAGUCCGGGGCUCAACUCCGGAUCUGCGGUGGGUACGGGCAGACUAGAGUGAUGUAGGGGAGACUGGAAUUCCUGGUGUAGCGGUGAAAUGCGCAGAUAUCAGGAGGAACACCGGUGGCGAAGGCGGGUCUCUGGGCCGAUACUGACGCUGAGGAGCGAAAGCGUGGGGAGCAAACGGG
Molecule: ribosomal RNA, 253 nt
Filed under: uncultured bacterium
Lineage: Bacteria
Description: partial 16S ribosomal RNA
Rfam family: Bacterial small subunit ribosomal RNA
Source: RNAcentral